ACGUUAGCGGCGGACGGGUGAGUAACACUGGGGUAACCUACCUAUAAGACUGGGAUAACUUCGGGAAACCGGAGCUAAUACCGGAUAAUAUUUCGAACCGCAUGGUUCGAUAGUGAAAGAUGGUUUUGCUAUCACUUAUAGAUGGACCCGCGCCGUAUUAGCUAGUUGGUAAGGUAACGGCUUACCAAGGCGACGAUACGUAGCCGACCUGAGAGGGUGAUCGGCCACACUGGAACUGAGACACGGUCCAGCUCCUACGGGAGGCAGCAGGC
Molecule: ribosomal RNA, 272 nt
Filed under: uncultured Staphylococcus sp.
Lineage: Bacteria; Bacillati; Bacillota; Bacilli; Caryophanales; Staphylococcaceae
Description: partial 16S ribosomal RNA
Rfam family: Bacterial small subunit ribosomal RNA
Source: RNAcentral